Molecule: ribosomal RNA, 424 nt
Filed under: uncultured bacterium
Lineage: Bacteria
Description: partial 16S ribosomal RNA
Rfam family: Bacterial small subunit ribosomal RNA
Source: RNAcentral
AAUAUUGGACAAUGGGGGCAACCCUGAUCCAGCCAUGCCGCGAGUGUGAAGAAGGUCUUCGGUUUGUAAAGCAUUUUAAGUUGGGAGGUAGGGUUGUGGAUUAAUACUCACCAAUUUUGACGUUCCCAACAUAAUAAGCACCGGCUAACUCUGUGCUCGCCGCCGCGGUAAUACAUAGGGUGCAAGCGUUAAUCGGAAUUACUGGGCGUAAAGCGCGCGUAGGUGGUUCAGUAAGAUGGGUGUGAAAUCCCCGGGCUCAACCUGGGAACUGCAUCCAUAACUGCUGGGCUAGAGUACGGUAGAGGGUAGUGGAAUUUCCUGUGUAGCGGUGAAAUGCGUAGAUAUAGGAAGGAACACCAGUGGCGAAGGCGACCACCUGGGCUAAUACUGACACUGAGGUGCGAAAGCGUGGGGAGCAAACAGG